This 20-nucleotide unclassified non-coding RNA is filed under the name Mus musculus (house mouse). Its description in RNAcentral is "oocyte_clustered_small_RNA5022". Lineage: Eukaryota; Metazoa; Chordata; Mammalia; Rodentia; Muridae. The record is from RNAcentral.
UGGACAGACAGGCAGUGGCA